Molecule: non-coding RNA, 99 nt
Organism: Arthrobotrys musiformis
Lineage: Eukaryota; Fungi; Ascomycota; Orbiliomycetes; Orbiliales; Orbiliaceae
Source: the annotation of a GenBank genome assembly
UCCGAUAUGGUGUAGUGGUUAACAUCGUCCGCUUUCAUCGAUUUCUUUCGAAGUUGGGAAUGGUCCGGACAGCCCCGGGUUCGAUUCCCGGUAUCGGAA